CUCAACUCGAUCUUUCUCAAAGAAAAAAAAUAAAUAAAUAAAAAAUAUAAAAAAUCAGCUCUCUGAAUCCAUCAGAGAUCCAAAAUGUAUAAAAUCCUAGGCUUGAAGAAUUGAAAUCUGAAGCUCUCAACUCUCAAACGGCUUCGCCCUCACCAGCCUAAACCCUAAACCGCACGAAACGAUGUCGUGGCUUCCAUCCGACGACUUCGCCAUGAAGCAAGACCACUUCUCCAGCGUCGCCGCCGUCGAGCACGUCCCUCUCAGCCACUUGGCCGACGGCAGGAUCGACUCCGCCUAGCUGUGGUCCUCCAAUCCCUCGCGUACCUCCCAUGCGCCGCCCAGCAUCGGCUACGUCCCUUACCAGCUCAUCCUCUGCCUCGGCUCCGAUGACUGCGCCACUGACUCCACUUUCACUGCCGACAUCGAUUGUCAAUCUCCGAAGCAUUUCGAUGGCCGGAUUUCCGGCAUUUACGGCUACGAAGAUAUGGUCACAUGAUAGACAAUGUUACCUGAUUGUUACUGGAACUUUGCACGAGAGAGAUGUUCAGGAACUAUUGGAAAAAUGCCACCUUUGGCCAUGUUUGACAGCAUUGCUAUCCUAGCAGUUUCACAGAAUAUGCAGGAGCUUUACAUCUUGCUUCUUACUUUUCUGAGUGCAUUACAUCAAAGGAUCUGGAUGACAGGAAUAUUGAAAUCAUGAGGAAUAAUCUUUACAAUGCAUACCUUGAAGACUUUUACAGGUUUUGUCAGAAUCUACGUGGUGCCAUAGCAGAGAUUAUGUCUGACUUGCUUUUGAGGCUGACAGAAGGGCUGAUCAUACAACUUUUGCUGCAGCCAAACAGCAUUGGAACAGAGCUUACUCGAGAUGAUCGCAAGAAAUUGUAUUCUAGCUUUGGUUUACUGUAGCUCAUGUUUUGAUUUAUUGGUGAUUGCUAUUUGUGAGGACAUUGAUCACUGUAUGGCGUGAGUUUCAAUUGGUGUUAAUACUUGCCUAAAACGUGUUGCAGCUCUUGGUCCACCUUCUCUGGAAGACCUCUUUCAGCAAUUACCAAUGAUGCACAAAGAAUUCAGUACUUUGUCAUGCAUGUUUUGUAAAGAAUAUAUGUAUCAGAUGAUAUGGUACUCUUAAUGAAAUGUAUAUUUUUCUUUUA
Molecule: long non-coding RNA, 1151 nt
Organism: Rosa rugosa (rugosa rose)
Lineage: Eukaryota; Viridiplantae; Streptophyta; Magnoliopsida; Rosales; Rosaceae
Exons: 6
Source: RefSeq, a predicted model, not a curated record